ACUGUAUUCCCUUGCUCUCCAGGUGGGUGCCUGAUUGCUGAAACUUUAAUUGUAUUCCCUUGCUCUCCAGGUGGGCACCUGAUUGCCAAAACUUGAACCGUAUUCCCUUGCUCUCCAGGUGGGCGCCUGAUUACCAAAACUUGAACCGUAUUCCCUUACUCUCUAGGUGGGCGCCUGAUUGCCAAAACUUCAACUAUAUUCCCUUGCUCUCCAGGUAGGCGCCUGAUUGCCAAAACUUUAACUGUAUUCCCUUGCUCUCCAGGUGGGCGCUGAUUGCCGAAACUUUAGCUGUAUUCCCUUGCUCUCCAGGUGGGCACCUGAUUGCCAAAAGUUUAACUAUAUUCCCUUGCUCUCCAGGUGCGCGCCUCAUUGCCAAAACUUGAACUGUAUUCCCUUACUCUCCAGGUGGGUCCCUAAUUGGCAAAACUUUAACUGUAUUCCCUU
Molecule: long non-coding RNA, 444 nt
Filed under: Nicotiana tabacum (common tobacco)
Lineage: Eukaryota; Viridiplantae; Streptophyta; Magnoliopsida; Solanales; Solanaceae
Description: long non-coding RNA (NTAB_LNC014444)
Source: RNAcentral